Molecule: long non-coding RNA, 1028 nt
Organism: Cydia pomonella (codling moth)
Lineage: Eukaryota; Metazoa; Arthropoda; Insecta; Lepidoptera; Tortricidae
Exons: 2
Source: RefSeq, a predicted model, not a curated record
GCUACGCGUGCUGUGCGAGCGGCAGGCGGCGCGCCCGGGGCUGCCGGCGCCGCUGAAGAACGCUCUCCACAGCGGGGUGCAGCUGGUGUGCCGUCUGGCGCCGCCUACGGAACAACAGCCACAAUAACGCUGAUGGCGCUAGUAGGACAUAAGGACAUCUGCGACCCACGUCGCACGCUCACACUUUACCUCCCGUGUCCAGAACUCAACUACAACCUUACUUCAGACAAACAACCGUCUCUUUCUAGCAAACAGCUAGGAUAUACGCAAGACUGGGACGGCUCUAUAUGGGCGUAUUAAUAACAUAAUGUCACUAGAAAAAGGCAGUGAAAUUCUAUAAAUUCUAUGUAUUUUUGUAGUGGCAUAUCGGGGAUUGCUAAAUAUCGCAAUAAUGUUUUAAAAUGACUGUUCUAUUAUCAUGUUAUAUUAUCUGUGUUGUCACGUGACAUGUGUCAGUGUCAAAUGACGUUUGUGUGAACACGUAUUGUGAGCUUCACUUUGACAUAUUUAUUUAAAACUCUUGGUUUAUAUUGAAUCAAACUGUUGUAUUGAUAGUAUUUUAAUGGGACAAACUAAGGUAUUCUUUUAAGUUUAAUCUUACUUAAGUAUGAGUCAACGAUUUUGGUCCGAGUUGUUUUAAGCUGUUAUUUUAGCACUUUGUUCUUGUUGAUCUAUUUAGAUUGUAAACAAAAGCAGUACAAUAUCUGAUAGGUCAAACCAGACUGCAGGAAAGCCCUAGGUAGCCUAGAAAAAUAAAACAAUGCAAUUUUCAAAUUGGGACCGUCAAAAAUUUUAACUUUUACUACAUUUUUAAAUUGGGUAAUUUCCCAUUUUCAUCGAACAAAUUCCCUUAUGCAUUUUUUUUAUUAUUUCCCUUUUGAAACUGAUCAUUCCAUUUGUAUAAACUUCGUUUUCUUUCGUUAGAUAGUUGUUUUUUUUAAUUUCAACAACUUUUGUAUUAACAAUAUGGUAUGCACUUGGUUUGGGGUGAAUGUAGUCAGGAUUUUUAAAUAAAUGUUAAUAUAAGA